AUUCGUUCUCUCAAGCCUCCUGAGUGGCCGGAUCUCCACCCUGAAGGGAUGAAACGGGAGCGAUCUUCAUCGACCGAGACCCCACCGUCUUUGCACCCAUUCUCAACUUCCUGCGAACCAAGGAGCUCGACCCCAGGGGCGUCAACAUCUCCCUGCUGCUGCAUGAAGCUGAGUUCUAUGGGAUCACCCCGCUGGUGCGUCGCCUGCAGCUGCGUGAGGAGCUUGACCGCUCGGCCUGCGGGAGCGUCCUCUUCAAUGGCUACCUGCCCCCCCCAGGUGGGUGCUGCGCCCCGGGUAGAGUGACGGAGGGGCGGAGACUCGCUGG
This is a long non-coding RNA of Chelonia mydas (Green sea turtle), 325 nucleotides long. RefSeq lists it as uncharacterized. The record is from RefSeq and is a predicted model, not a curated record. NCBI's taxonomy places the organism in Eukaryota, Metazoa, Chordata, Testudines, Cheloniidae. The transcript is spliced from 5 exons.